RNAcentral lists this ribosomal RNA (478 nucleotides) under uncultured bacterium. RNAcentral's name for it is "partial 16S ribosomal RNA". It matches the Rfam family "Bacterial small subunit ribosomal RNA", at positions 28 to 523 of the family's 1533-position model. The record is from RNAcentral.
GAUGAACGCUGACAGAAUGCUUAACACACGCAAGUCUACUUGAUUCUACUUCGGUAGUUGAUGGUGGCGGACGGGUGAGUAACGCGUAAAGAAUCUGCCCUUUAGUUUGGGAUAACCUUUGGAAACGAAGGCUAAUACCGGAUAUUAUGGAGACGUCGCAUGGCGACUCCAUGAAAGCUAUAUGCGCUAGAGGAGGACUUUGCGUCCCAUUAGUUAGUUGGUGAGGUAAUGGCUCACCAAGACCGCGAUGGGUAGCCGGCCUGAGAGGGUGAUCGGCCACAAGGGAACUGAGACAUGGUCCUUACUCCUACGGGAGGCAGCAGUGGGGAAUAUUGGACAAUGGGCCACAAGCCUGAUCCAGCAAUUCUGUGUGCACGAUGAAGGUCUUCGGAUUGUAAAGUGCUUUCAGUAGGGAAGAAAAAAAUGACGGUACCUACAGAAGAAGCGACGGCUAAAUAUGUGCCAGCAGCCGCGGUAA